UAGCCACUUGUUGAUUUUCUAUCGUCUAGAUUGGAUUCCCAAUUUGCAUCACUAUAAGCAUGAAUAUCAAGAUUAAAAGAAGAAGUAAGGAGCAGCCCAUACCGUUGUGUGCCCUUCAAAUAACGUAAAAUAUGUUUUACUGCAACCGAAUGCUGCCUUUUGGGAGAAUGAACAUAUUGAGAAGCUUUACGAACCGAGAAGGCAAUGUCGGGUCUGGUGAUAUUCAAAUAUUGCAAAGCACCAACUAUGGUGCGGUAGAGAGUGAUAUCAAGUGUAGAUUCAACACUAGUUGCUUGUAAUUUCUCAUUCGGUGUGGCUGGCGUAGACAAGCUUUUGCAUGUGGUCAUAUUGGCUUUGUGUAACAAAUCCUCAAUGUACUUUGUCUGUGUAAGUAAUAAACCCAUUUUUGUAUGAUGAGCUUCAAUACCCAAGAAAUAAUCUAAUUGACCCAAAUCUUUUAAUUGAAACUCUAGUUGCAGAGAUGCAACAAGGUGCUGUAAAUGAGUAUUAUCACUCCUAGUUAGGAUGAUAUCAUCCACAUAAAUAAGACAGAAAGCUUGUGUCCCACCAUUCGUAUAAGGAAAUAAGGAUGUAUCUACAGUAGAUGACUUAAAACCAUUUUUAAGAAGCGCAUUAGACAAGCACUUGUACCAUUGACGUGGAGCUUGACGAAGGCCAUACAGAGAAUGAUGUAACCGACAUACAUGAUUCGGUUUAUCGGGAUCAGUAAAACCAGGAGGUUGAUUCAUAAAGACCAAGUCAUCAAGUUUGCCAUGUAAGAAAGCAUUUGAAACAUCUUAUUAUUUGAUAUUCCACCCCUGUGUAACUGCAUAUGACAAA
Molecule: unclassified non-coding RNA, 840 nt
Filed under: Hevea brasiliensis (rubber tree)
Lineage: Eukaryota; Viridiplantae; Streptophyta; Magnoliopsida; Malpighiales; Euphorbiaceae
Source: RNAcentral